AGAGUUUGAUCAUGGCUCAGAUUGAACGCUGGCGGCAGGCCUAACACAUGCAAGUCGAGCGGUAGCACAGAGAGCUUGCUCUCGGGUGACGAGCGGCGGACGGGUGAGUAAUGUCUGGGAAACUGCCUGAUGGAGGGGGAUAACUACUGGAAACGGUAGCUAAUACCGCAUAACGUCGCAAGACCAAAGUGGGGGACCUUCGGGCCUCAUGCCAUCAGAUGUGCCCAGAUGGGAUUAGCUAGUAGGUGGGGUAAUGGCUCACCUAGGCGACGAUCCCUAGCUGGUCUGAGAGGAUGACCAGCCACACUGGAACUGAGACACGGUCCAGACUCCUACGGGAGGCAGCAGUGGGGAAUAUUGCACAAUGGGCGCAAGCCUGAUGCAGCCAUGCCGCGUGUGUGAAGAAGGCCUUCGGGUUGUAAAGCACUUUCAGCGGGGAGGAAGGCGUUAAGGUUAAUAACCUUGGCGAUUGACGUUACCCGCAGAAGAAGCACCGGCUAACUCCGUGCCAGCAGCCGCGGUAAUACGGAGGGUGCAAGCGUUAAUCGGAAUUACUGGGCGUAAAGCGCACGCAGGCGGUCUGUCAAGUCGGAUGUGAAAUCCCCGGGCUCAACCUGGGAACUGCAUUCGAAACUGGCAGGCUAGAGUCUUGUAGAGGGGGUAGAAUUCCAGGUGUAGCGGUGAAAUGCGUAGAGAUCUGGAGGAAUACCGGUGGCGAAGGCGGCCCCCUGGACAAAGACUGACGCUCAGGUGCGAAAGCGUGGGGAGCAAACAGGAUUAGAUACCCUGGUAGUCCACGCCGUAAACGAUGUCGAUUUGGAGGUUGUGCCCUUGAGGCGUGGCUUCCGGAGCUAACGCGUUAAAUCGACCGCCUGGGGAGUACGGCCGCAAGGUUAAAACUCAAAUGAAUUGACGGGGGCCCGCACAAGCGGUGGAGCAUGUGGUUUAAUUCGAUGCAACGCGAAGAACCUUACCUGGUCUUGACAUCCACAGAACUUUCCAGAGAUGGAUUGGUGCCUUCGGGAACUGUGAGACAGGUGCUGCAUGGCUGUCGUCAGCUCGUGUUGUGAAAUGUUGGGUUAAGUCCCGCAACGAGCGCAACCCUUAUCCUUUGUUGCCAGCGGUCCGGCCGGGAACUCAAAGGAGACUGCCAGUGAUAAACUGGAGGAAGGUGGGGAUGACGUCAAGUCAUCAUGGCCCUUACGACCAGGGCUACACACGUGCUACAAUGGCAUAUACAAAGAGAAGCGACCUCGCGAGAGCAAGCGGACCUCAUAAAGUAUGUCGUAGUCCGGAUUGGAGUCUGCAACUCGACUCCAUGAAGUCGGAAUCGCUAGUAAUCGUAGAUCAGAAUGCUACGGUGAAUACGUUCCCGGGCCUUGUACACACCGCCCGUCACACCAUGGGAGUGGGUUGCAAAAGAAGUAGGUAGCUUAACCUUCGGGAGGGCGCUUACCACUUUGUGAUUCAUGACUGGGGUGAAGUCGUAACAAGGUAACCGUAGGGGAACCUGCGGUUGGAUCACCU
This 1527-nucleotide ribosomal RNA is filed under the name Klebsiella pneumoniae. RNAcentral's name for it is "bacterial SSU rRNA". It matches the Rfam family "Bacterial small subunit ribosomal RNA". Lineage: Bacteria; Pseudomonadati; Pseudomonadota; Gammaproteobacteria; Enterobacterales; Enterobacteriaceae. The record is from RNAcentral.